ACUUAAAUUGAAGAGUUUGAUCAUGGCUCAGAUUGAACGCUGGCGGCAGGCCUAACACAUGCAAGUCGAGCGGCAGCGGGAAAGUAGCUUGCUACUUUUGCCGGCGAGCGGCGG
This 114-nucleotide ribosomal RNA is filed under the name Aeromonas veronii. RNAcentral's name for it is "partial 16S ribosomal RNA". It matches the Rfam family "Bacterial small subunit ribosomal RNA", at positions 1 to 101 of the family's 1533-position model. Lineage: Bacteria; Pseudomonadati; Pseudomonadota; Gammaproteobacteria; Aeromonadales; Aeromonadaceae. The record is from RNAcentral.